Molecule: ribosomal RNA, 403 nt
Filed under: Verrucomicrobiota bacterium
Lineage: Bacteria; Pseudomonadati; Verrucomicrobiota
Description: Verrucomicrobia bacterium partial 16S ribosomal RNA
Rfam family: Bacterial small subunit ribosomal RNA
Source: RNAcentral
UGGGGAAUAUUGCACAAUGGGCGCAAGCCUGAUGCAGCAACGCCGCGUGAACGAUGAAGGUCUUCGGAUCGUAAAGUUCUGUUGCAGGGGAAGAUAAUGACGGUACCCUGUGAGGAAGCCCCGGCUAACUACGUGCCAGCAGCCGCGGUAAUACGUAGGGGGCUAGCGUUAUCCGGAUUUACUGGGCGUAAAGGGUGCGUAGGUGGUCCUUCAAGUCGGUGGUUAAAGGCUACGGCUCAACCGUAGUAAGCCGCCGAAACUGGAGGACUUGAGUGCAGGAGAGGAAAGUGGAAUUCCCAGUGUAGCGGUGAAAUGCGUAGAUAUUGGGAGGAAAACCAGUAGCGAAGGCGGCUUUCUGGACUGCAACUGACACUGAGGAACGAAAGCGUGGGUAGCAAACAGG